RNAcentral lists this small RNA (107 nucleotides) under Marmota monax (woodchuck). Lineage: Eukaryota; Metazoa; Chordata; Mammalia; Rodentia; Sciuridae. The record is from RNAcentral.
GCUGGGUGUGGUGGUGCAUGCUUAUAAUCCCAGCGACUUGGGAGGCUGAGACAGGAGGAUCACAAGUUAGAGGCCAACCUCUGCAACUUAGCGAGACCCUGUCUCAU